AUUUUAGUUAUCUGCCUCUGUGAAAAACUACUUUUGUUUUUCCUCCAAGGUUUCCACUUCUGGGGAACUUGAGGCCAGAGACAACAACAGUAAUGGCAUCUAUCACUUGAUCACUUCCAAUACUUCUUGUGAACUGAGCCACAGACGGUACCAUAUCGCGCAGGGGUGUGGUUAUUACCUCUCUUGAGUGACGAGACAAGAUCAUAUCAGGGUAAAACUAUUGGGAGAAAUUAGCUGCUAAUCCCUCUUCUGGCUGAAAGGGCGUGAAUACUCACUGAUAAAGAAAGAAUCUGGAGAAAGUAUGUGGGAAGUUUGUCACCAUGGAACUGGUUAAAUGGCCAAGCCAACCACUGUACCUGAGGAGAUGCUGUGGAGGGCAACUUUGGUAUCAGUGAAUGGAGCAACCUAGAAAAGAAAACAUACACUGUAACAUACUAUAUAAAUUCAAGAAAAAUAUGAUGGCUAAAAUAAUUCUUCUGGGCCAACAGAUUUGACCAAAUGGGGCCAUUUUAAUGUCAAAUUAUUCUUUUUCCACUUAUGUAAUAAAA
Long non-coding RNA from Stylophora pistillata, 548 nucleotides. The record is from RefSeq and is a predicted model, not a curated record. Lineage: Eukaryota; Metazoa; Cnidaria; Anthozoa; Scleractinia; Pocilloporidae.